This 478-nucleotide long non-coding RNA is filed under the name Lotus japonicus. RNAcentral's name for it is "long non-coding RNA (LJAP_LNC000162)". The record is from RNAcentral. Lineage: Eukaryota; Viridiplantae; Streptophyta; Magnoliopsida; Fabales; Fabaceae.
GCUUCUAUAAAAGCCUCGUUACAAGGUGAUUUAAAUUUCGGGAUCCGGAUGCAACUUUAUGGUUAUAAUCUAACAUUCACCUAACAAUCCUUGGGACAUCACGAAUCAAACCAACUAUAUAUGACUAGUUAGUCGGUGAUUUAUAUCCACAUACAAUACUUCGGUAGAGAAGCCAACAUAUCAAUUUUUCAUCAUCUGUUUUAAGCCUACCUGCAAUUAUCACCCGAUAACAAACAAAUCAGCUUUGAAUAGAAAUUUUCAAAUGCUUGGAUGAUCUUGGAAGCUAGUUUAAGGCUUAGGGAUCAAAACAGGUUGCACCUUCAGCUGUUUUGUGAAAGCAAUGGCUGCAAAACCAAACUGGGUCCUCGUCCUUAACACACAAACUACUGGUGAAUUAUUCCGAACUCUCUUGUCUUCGGGUUCCAGUGUCAACCCAAGUUAAUGACUGAAAUUCCUUUUUAUGAGCUUUACAACAGAA